Molecule: long non-coding RNA, 761 nt
Filed under: Brassica napus (rape)
Lineage: Eukaryota; Viridiplantae; Streptophyta; Magnoliopsida; Brassicales; Brassicaceae
Description: long non-coding RNA (BNAP_LNC010564)
Source: RNAcentral
AGCUCAUAGCCAAAAGAAACACAACUAGCACUCAAUUCAACAUCUAAUCCAAUAUGAGCACACUCUCUUAUCACACUCUAGCUUCUCUAGGCCUAUCUCAACUCCUUUUGCCCUUAUACUCAUCAUCAAACAUCCACACAUUCAAAUCAACCAACUCUCACAUUCAUUAAGCAUAAAACAUCAAGUGAAUUCUUGCAAAUGGUCAAUUGGUCCAAAUCAUUUGGUUGAGUAAAGGGAAAGCUUUUAUUCAAGUGAGUCAAGAGGUUCAAAACACAUGAUCUUUAAAGGUGGUUUACACUCAAGACAAGUAGCCUUGACAUUGCACAUAAUAUAUCUAAGAAAGGGACCAACUCAUGCAUACAAUGCUCAAUCUCCAUUGUUCUACCCUUUUCCCAAACAUACAAGUUACACAAUCACUUCAUAAUGUCAAACCCAACUCCCAUCUCUCAUCAAAAGAUCCCAAGAACACUUUGCACAUAAAACUCUUUUUCUUUGAAAUCUAUAAAUGAUUUUCUCAACUUCAAAACAAAUCUUAGCUCUAAACAACUUUGCUAGCCCCCUUUUUUUUUUUUUAUAUAUUUUUUUUUCUUUUUCUCUUUUAUAUUCUUUUUUUUUUCCGGGGGCCAAGACUUUUCAUAAACUCGAGCUAGACACUUAUCUACUAAUUCCAAUAAGAUUAUCCAUUUAAACACAAAGAGUUUAUUCUUUUCCUUCGAACUUUUCAUGCUUCCAAAUCAUAGUCACAACACUCACCCCCACCU